CUGGUUGUGUAAUGUACGGUGUACAGUUGCAACAGAGUACCUAACAUAAACUUGGGAAAAUUGGCUUCGCAAUUUUUAUUUGCCAGGCUCAAAUUGGCUUCAAGGAUAAAAUACUGUGGGGCGAUCUUUCAAGAUGGAGUGUCGGUCACCCAUGUGCAUAUGAUUUGAGACGGUGUUCGUCAAGGCACAAAUGGGCUGGGCCGGGCCACACAACACUCAUCAAGCCGCGAAGAGGAGGGGGGUGACGGGCAGCGUCCAGUCAGUCACUCCGAGUGGCAGUGCUACCGGCGUGACAGCGAAAGUUAACGUCACGGCCUUUGUGUGUUUUCAGCCAUGUUUUUCUCCUAACCGAUCCAUUCCACUGAUAGUCUUCUUCUGACUCUUCACGUCCCAUCGUGACUACUCCCAUUAUCACCAGCCAGAGACAAGCCGUCCCUCCUCCGGUCCUUUUACCCCACCAGUAUCCUGCCUGCUUCAAAUUCAUUCUUUUCGCUCCAAUUGUGCCUCUUGUCUCAUUUGCGUACUUGACAACAGUGGUCUUCACAAGCUUUUGGAAAUGACUCCGUCAUUUUCCACGUCAACUGUUGGCGUCCUUCUUUACACCUCCAAGAGUUGAUCAAAGUCAGGUGUGAGACAGUCUCGAGUUACAUCAAAAAGGACGAGAUUUCCACUGUGGGUUAAUUAAAACUGUUCUGGUAUCUAGAAAAAACAUAUAGAGUUCAGAAUUGUCUCUUGUGAAGAAUCAUUCCCUGAUAUGUACCAUGCCUCGCUCAAGUGAGCUCUCAGAAGACCUACGAUUAAGAAUUGUUGACUUGUAUAACGCUGGAAAAGGUUACAAAAGUAUCUCAAAAACUCUUGAUGUUCAUCAAUCCACGGUUAGACAAAUUGUCAAAAAAUGGAAAAAGUUCAGCACCGUUGCUUCUCUUCCGAGGAGCGGCCGCCCUGCAAAGAUGACUGCAAGGGCACAGCGCAGAAUGCUCAGUGAGGUCAAAAAAGAUCCUAGCGUCUCAACGGAAGACUUACAGAAAUCACUGGCACAUGCCAACAUUUCUGUUGACAAAUCUACCAUACGUAAAACAUUAAACAAGAACGGGGUUUAUGG
This is a long non-coding RNA of Syngnathoides biaculeatus (alligator pipefish), 1102 nucleotides long. RefSeq lists it as uncharacterized. The record is from RefSeq and is a predicted model, not a curated record. Lineage: Eukaryota; Metazoa; Chordata; Actinopteri; Syngnathiformes; Syngnathidae. The transcript is spliced from 3 exons.